UUAUAUUUAAAACUAGUAUAGCCGCGCGGCUAUACUCAGUUUUGAAAUUUUUUUUGAAAAGACAUGUGUCGACACGUGCCACCUAUUGGUUGGGAGAAAUUUUUAUAUAUGGAAAAAAAAGUAGAGCCGCGCGGCUGUACUCAGUUUUGAAAUUUUAAUUUUUUAAUAUUUAAAAAAGUAUAGCCGCGCGGCUAUACUCAGUUU
RNAcentral lists this small RNA (204 nucleotides) under Prunus dulcis (almond). RNAcentral's name for it is "sRNA ncRNA". The record is from RNAcentral. Lineage: Eukaryota; Viridiplantae; Streptophyta; Magnoliopsida; Rosales; Rosaceae.